AAUAUUGCGCAAUGGGGGGAACCCUGACGCAGCGACGUCGCGUGGGCGAAGAAGGUCUUCGGAUCGUAAAGCUCUGUCUUUGGGGACGAAAGAAAUGACGAUACCCAAUGAGGAAGCCCCGGCUAACUACGUGCCAGCAGCCGCGGUAACACGUAGGGGGCAAGCGUUGUCCGGAAUUACUGGGCGUAAAGGGUACGAAGGCGGCUAUAUAAGUCAGGUGUGAAAUACAAGUGCUUAACACUGGAAUUGCAUUUGAAACUGUGUAGCUUGAGUGCAGGAGAGGAAAGUGGAAUUCCUAGUGUAGCGGUGAAAUGCGUAGAGAUUAGGAGGAACACCAGUGGCGAAGGCGACUUUCUGGACUGUAACUGACGCUGAGGUACGAAAGCGUGGGUAGCGAACA
RNAcentral lists this ribosomal RNA (400 nucleotides) under uncultured bacterium. RNAcentral describes it as "partial 16S ribosomal RNA". It matches the Rfam family "Bacterial small subunit ribosomal RNA", at positions 360 to 774 of the family's 1533-position model. The record is from RNAcentral.